RNAcentral lists this ribosomal RNA (914 nucleotides) under uncultured marine bacterium. RNAcentral describes it as "bacterial SSU rRNA". It matches the Rfam family "Bacterial small subunit ribosomal RNA", at positions 8 to 916 of the family's 1533-position model. The record is from RNAcentral.
AGAGUUUGAUCCUGGCUCAGAGUGAACGGUGGCGGCAUGGUUAAGACAUGCAAGUCGAACGAGAAGCAGGACUUCGGUCCUGUGGACAGUGCGAACGGGUGCGUAACACGUGAGCAACCUGCCCCUAAGUACGGAAUAGCCCACCGAAAGGUGGAUUAAUACCGCAUGUGACCCUUUAUCGCAUGGUAGAGUGGUUAAAGCUUGUAAUGGCGCUUAGGGAUGGGCUCGCGGCCUAUCAGCUUGUUGGUGAGGUAACGGCUCACCAAGGCUAAGACGGGUAGCUGGUCUGAGAGGAUGAUCAGCCACACCGGGACUGAGACACGGCCCGGACACCUACGGGUGGCAGCAGUUUCGAAUCAUUCACAAUGGGCGAAAGCCUGAUGAUGCAAUGCCGCGUGGAGGAUGACGGCCCUAGGGUUGUAAACUCCUGUCAUUAGGGAACAACAAGUAGGUUCAUAGCCUACCCUGAGUUAACCUAAAGAGGAAGAGGUGGCUAACUCCGUGCCAGCAGCCGCGGUAAUACGGAGACCUCGAGCGUUACUCGGAUUUACUGGGCGUAAAGGGUGAGCAGGCGGCCAGGUGUGUUAGGUGUGAAAUCCCGGGGCUCAACCCCGGAACUGCGCCUAAAACUACCUGGCUAGAGUAUCGGAGAGGACAGUGGAAUUCCAGGUGUAGCGGUGAAAUGCGUAGAUAUCUGGAGGAACACCAGUGGCGAAGGCGACUGUCUGGACGAUUACUGACGCUCAAUCACGAAAGCGUGGGUAGCGAAAGGGAUUAGAUACCCCUGUAGUCCACGCCGUAAACGUUGUGCACUAAGUUUCGGAGGAUUCGACCCCUUCGGAGCUCAAGCUAACGCGUCAAGUGCACCGCCUGAGGACUACGGCCGCAAGGCUAAAACUCAAAGGAAUUGACGG